This 819-nucleotide long non-coding RNA is filed under the name Ananas comosus (pineapple). RNAcentral describes it as "long non-coding RNA (ACOM_LNC005626)". Lineage: Eukaryota; Viridiplantae; Streptophyta; Magnoliopsida; Poales; Bromeliaceae. The record is from RNAcentral.
UUUGGCUAAAGUUUGAUAAUCGCUAUCGAGGUUUCGAUACGUUACAAUAUAUGUAUGUUAUAUGUAUGUAUGAAGUCCGGCUGGGAUAUUAUUGAUAGCACAAAGCGUUUGGUGCUACUGAGUUUUCCACCGUUAGAUUCAACCAUUUGACUAUUUUCAUCCUUUAGAUUAUACUAUUCAACCAACAACUUACUCAACCCUAGGGGGUCCGCAUCAUCCUAACCGUACAUUCUUUCAUCCAAGGGCCAAAAACCUAAUAUGCACCAAUAGCUUGGUGCUAUUAGUGGUAUUCCAACCUAGUUCUAUAUGUAAUAUUUUAUAUUUAAGCUAUUUUGAGCCAAACAUGAGUAAGAUGAUCCCAACUCGCGUUCGAUUAUUAAGAUUUUUGAGUUGAAAAUUUAUUAAAUGAGCGAACAAUCUCAAGCUCAUUUCAAGCCGAAUGCGAGUCAGCUUAGGAAAGCUAGAUUUCAAACUAUACUUUAGGGGGGCGUCGUACCGGCGUGUUUAAUUGCAAGCGGCAACACCGCGUGUAACUUGGGCCGUUACUGGCAUGAAAUAAAGGGCAUGUCUAGUUGGCCGAAAGUAAAGCACUGAAAGUGGCAUUUUUGAAAAAUGACAUUUUAUCAGUCGUUUGAUUUGUGAAAAAGUGAAUAUGAAAGUCAUUUUACAAAAGUGGUCUGAUAAAGUGAAUUGCAACUAAAUCUCAUUUUUUUAAACUUUGACUCAAAAAAUUCGAAAGUUACCAAAAGUGAAGUGCUUAGCUAAGAGGUUAUAUUUAAUUUUAACUUUAAUCUUUGAAUUUAUUUUUAAAGUUGAAUU